AACUCACCCGGUCCGGACACUGGAAGGAUUGACAGAUUAAAAGCUCUUUCUUGAUUCAGUGGGUGGUGGUGCAUGGCCGUUCUUAGUUGGUGGAGUGAUUUGUCUGGUUAAUUCCGAUAACGAACGAGACUCUAGCCUGCUAACUAGUUCGCCGGCAGCUCUUGUCGCGCGGCGCCGCUUCGGCGGCAAACUUCUUAGAGGGACAGGUGGCGUUUAGCCACACGAAGUAGAGCAAUAACAGGUCUGUGAUGCCCUUAGAUGUCCGGGGCCGCACGCGCGCUACACUGAAAGAAUCAACGUGGAUGCCCACCUGCUCCGAGAGGAGUGGGAAACCCGAUGAAUCUCUUUCGUGAUGGGGAUUGGGGCUUGUAAUUGUUCCCCAUGAACGAGGAAUUCCCAGUAAGCGUCAGUCAUCAGCUGGCGCUGAUUACGUCCCUGCCCUUUGUACACACCGCCCGUCGCUACUACCGAUUGAAUGGUUUAGUGAGACCCUCGGACUGGAGUCCGUCCGCCGCUUUCGGGUGGUGGAUGGGGACGGAAAGA
RNAcentral lists this ribosomal RNA (543 nucleotides) under Lepetodrilus fucensis. RNAcentral describes it as "SSU rRNA". It matches the Rfam family "Eukaryotic small subunit ribosomal RNA", at positions 1212 to 1755 of the family's 1831-position model. Lineage: Eukaryota; Metazoa; Mollusca; Gastropoda; Lepetellida; Lepetodrilidae. The record is from RNAcentral.